Long non-coding RNA from Sabethes cyaneus, 227 nucleotides. RefSeq lists it as uncharacterized. The record is from RefSeq and is a predicted model, not a curated record. The transcript has 3 exons. Lineage: Eukaryota; Metazoa; Arthropoda; Insecta; Diptera; Culicidae.
GAAACAGUGGCAAAUACCUAAAAGAUAAGGGUUGAACGAGGUUGUGCAACGGAUUACGAGUGCCUUGUGAAUUUUCUAUAUAUCGUAUAGAAGUCGUUACAAAUAACUACAUAGCCUUAUAUGAGGACGUUCAGCGAGUGUUCCUGCCGAUACUGUGGUUCGAACAGCACGUUACGAUGCAACCGGAAUUUGUCGGUGAAAUUGCCACAAGCUCUCAGUAUUCCAAG